GGAAGAUCAUACGUCUGUUUUCCAUUAAAGCUUCAUUGAUGUUGCUAGUUAAUGACACACAAAUGCAACGCCUAAUCAUGCAUAGUUUCUUUACAAGUUCCAAAUAAACCUCAACCUCUCCUAAAUACUUACAAUAACACCACCAAAAUUUGAUAAAAUGAAAAGCAGAUCAUUUAAAAUUUCCAGCAAACGCUACCAAACAUCUCUCCAGCCAAGAAAGGAGGAAAAGACCAUUUUCCAUGGAACCACCAAGGCAGCAACUCCCUCACAUUGGCUCCACUGGUAAUUAAUACCAGUCAUUGAAAAGAAAGCAACAAAAGGGUCUGCAUUCAGAAACCUUACUGAUUGAACUCCCCAAAUAGUCACUAACCAAGCAUUAGAAUUUCUAAAAAAAUUAUAAAAUUACUAUAAUUGUUUGUUUGCUUAUCUACUUGGUGAUAAGCAUGUAUGAACAGUCUGGGUUAGGCCCAUCAGUCAAGCAUGGAAUAACUUAGAAAAAA
RNAcentral lists this unclassified non-coding RNA (500 nucleotides) under Hevea brasiliensis (rubber tree). Lineage: Eukaryota; Viridiplantae; Streptophyta; Magnoliopsida; Malpighiales; Euphorbiaceae. The record is from RNAcentral.